GGGGCCGUAGCUCAGUUGGGAGAGCGUCUGGUUUGCAACCAGAAGGUCGACGGUUCGAGUCCGUUCGGCUCCA
RNAcentral lists this transfer RNA (73 nucleotides) under Phycisphaerales bacterium. RNAcentral's name for it is "tRNA-Ala". It matches the Rfam family "tRNA". From Rfam's summary of the family: Transfer RNA (tRNA) molecules are approximately 80 nucleotides in length. Their secondary structure includes four short double-helical elements and three loops (D, anti-codon, and T loops). The record is from RNAcentral. Lineage: Bacteria; Pseudomonadati; Planctomycetota; Phycisphaerae; Phycisphaerales.